Molecule: ribosomal RNA, 468 nt
Filed under: uncultured bacterium
Lineage: Bacteria
Description: partial 16S ribosomal RNA
Rfam family: Bacterial small subunit ribosomal RNA
Source: RNAcentral
GACGAACGCUGGCGGCGUGCUUAACACAUGCAAGUCGAACGGAAAGGCCCUGCUUUUGUGGGGUGCUCGAGUGGCGAACGGGUGAGUAACACGUGAGUAACCUGCCCUUGACUUUGGGAUAACUUCAGGAAACUGGGGCUAAUACCGGAUAGGAGCUCCUGCUGCAUGGUGGGGGUUGGAAAGUUUCGGCGGUUGGGGAUGGACUCGCGGAUUAUCAGCUUGUUGGUUGGGUAGUGGCUUACCAAGGCUUUGACGGGUAGCCGGCCUGAGAGGGUGACCGGCCACAUUGGGACUGAGAUACGGCCCAGACUCCUACGGGAGGCAGCAGUGGGGAAUAUUGCACAAUGGGAGGAAGCCGGAUGCAGCAACGCCGCGUGCGGGAUGACGGCCUGCGGGUUGUAAACAGCUUUAGCCUGUGACGAAGCGUGAGUGACGGUAAUGGGUAAAGAAGCACCGGCUAACUACGUG